Molecule: ribosomal RNA, 484 nt
Filed under: uncultured bacterium
Lineage: Bacteria
Description: bacterial SSU rRNA
Rfam family: Bacterial small subunit ribosomal RNA
Source: RNAcentral
AUUGAACGCUGGCGGCAUGCCUUACACAUGCAAGUCGAACGGCAGCACGGGAGCAAUCCUGGUGGCGAGUGGCGAACGGGUGAGUAAUAUAUCGGAACGUGCCCAGUCGUGGGGGAUAACGUAGCGAAAGCUACGCUAAUACCGCAUACGAUCUACGGAUGAAAGCGGGGGAUCGCAAGACCUCGCGCGAUUGGAGCGGCCGAUAUCAGAUUAGGUAGUUGGUGAGGUAAAGGCUCACCAAGCCGACGAUCUGUAGCUGGUCUGAGAGGACGACCAGCCACACUGGGACUGAGACACGGCCCAGACUCCUACGGGAGGCAGCAGUGGGGAAUAUUGGACAAUGGGCGAAAGCCUGAUCCAGCCAUGCCGCGUGUGUGAAGAAGGUCUUCGGAUUGUAAAGCACUUUAAGUUGGGAGGAAGGGCAGUAAGUUAAUACCUUGCUGUUUUGACGUUACCAACAGAAUAAGCACCGGCUAACUUCGUG